This is a long non-coding RNA of Callithrix jacchus (white-tufted-ear marmoset), 2947 nucleotides long. The record is from Ensembl. Lineage: Eukaryota; Metazoa; Chordata; Mammalia; Primates; Cebidae.
UGAUUUCAAAAUGCUGGAAAAAGCCAGAGCCAAAGUAAAUUCCCCCAACCUCUCUCUCUCUCUCUCUCUCUCUCUCUCUCUCUCUCUCUCUCUCUCACACACACACACACACACACACACACACACACACACGAACUCUUAAACCUUGCAUAUCAGACAAGUGAAAAAAAAAAAAAAGAAAAGAAAGAAAAAGCCCAGCCUCCCAUUGCUUCACAUCGUAUAUAGAUCGAGUUCACUUCACAAACACAAGGUGCACUGUCAGAAGUGCCUUCGGCAAAGUUUGUACUUUGCUUGAAUUCUAACUUUUGUUUACCAAGGUAAUAAACCAGUCCCCUGCUGCACCAGGUGUAAAGCUAUUAUGAAAAGGCAUAUUUGUAUUUCACCCCACCUCAGAUGUACGGUAUGUGGGACAUCCUGCACUGUAAGAGCAGCCUGGGUUUAUUUACAGAGAGAGGCACCCAAGCACAGAGAGGAGUGUCUCCAGGGUGGAAAAGGCUGAGACCCUGUGAAGAACUGUUCGUCUCAUCUUCCUCUUUCCCUUCAGCCACCUGCCCCUUCAGACAACAGCCUCUGCCCUCUUUGCAGUGACAAAUCAUCCAGCCUGCCAGCGACCCUCCAGGGGCCUUUGCAGUCUCUGCGCAGGCGAGUUACUUCUUCCUGAGUUUUUUUGUCCUGAAUUUUUCUGCCAACCUGUUAUUGACAAGCUUCAUACAGCUAGAUUAGAGUGGGUAAAUGCAGCAGCUGAGGAAGCUGUCCCUACCCCGUGCCUGUAAAUCUCCAGAAGCUUUUCUUCCCCUUUCUUACAGGAACUGGUCAUACGCUGAUGGGUUAUCUGAGGCCUGAGAUGGGUGGGAGGAAACUUUCACCCAAAUCUCUGCCUGAGCGAAAUGGCCUGGAACUCACUCUAAAUCAUCUACUGAAAUCCUGGCACAGAAAGAAUGUAUAGAAAAGGGCAGAAUUCAAAUGCCAGGGCGAAGGGGGUCCCUGCACCAUUGUGGAUUCCAGGGACAGUAUCACGGUGGACAACAAACCAACACUGUCACCAGGAGGCAGGUGCAGAGUUCGAGGAGGACAAGAGAGAAGGUGCAGGAAACCCAUCCAGGGAGGACACAUCAGGAAUCUCUUCACCUCUGUUCUCUCUCCUCUCCAUUUCAUCUUUCACACUAAUCAGUUGUUAAGAGCUUCUGCGAGUCCCAAUAUUGACAGUGUGUUCUAAAAUAGCCAUAAUAUUUAUUAGGCAUGACUUCAUGCCAGGCACUGUCCUGAAUAGUUCAUGUGCUAAACAUAUGUCUUACUGCAUAGUGACCACAGAUCUGGACUGUUGGUCCCAAUGUUGCCAAUACCCAGGUGGGAGCUAUUAGAAAACUAAUUCUUGGCCGGGCAUGGAAGCUCACGCUUGUAAUCUCAGCACUUCGGCAGGCCAACACAGGUGGAUCACCUGAGGUCAGGAGUUUGACACAAACCUGACCAACGCGGAGAAACCCCAUCUCUACUAAAAAUACAAAAUUAGCCGGACAUGGUGGUGCAUGCCUGUAAUCCCAGCUACUCGGGAGGCUGAGGCAGGAGAAUUGCUUGAACCUGGGAGGCGGAGCUGGCGAUGAGCCGAGAUCACCCAUUGCACUGCAGCCUGGGCAACAGAGUGAAACUCCGUCUAAAAAAAAAAAAAAAAAAAAAAGAAAGAAAGAAAGAAAAAAGAAAACUCUCUCUUUGCUAUUUCCUUAUCUGUUGAAUGAUGAGGGAGUUCCAGUGCUGGAGGGCGAGUAGAGUAGAGACACCCUCCAUCAACUGCUUGUUGGAGUAUAAACUAGUACAACUUUUAUAAUAGGAAGAAUGCAAUGCCUAGUAAGAUUUAAAAUAUGCAUGUUCUUUGAUUAAACAACCUAACCACUAGAAAUCUAUCCUAUAGAGAUAGUAGUAAGAAUAUGUAAGGAUUCACAUGCAAGAAUGUUUGUGGCAGCAUCAUUUGUAAAAGCAAACAAGUUGGACCAUCAUAAAUGUCUAUCAGCAGAAAAAUAGCUGAAAACAUGUCUAGUCGAUGGAAUACCAGACUGCAAAUGAGAUAUGGACUUGGGAAAGUUUUUCACAAUACAUUUUAAAAUAAAAGAACAGAUCAAUAUGCAUGUCAUAAUUUAUUUUCUAUAAAUAAUGUAUGUGGAUGUAGAGGUACACAUACAUAGUUAUAAGUUACAUUUAACUUAGAAAAAUAUCUUGAUUGAUAAAUACUAACAGACUGGAGAAGGAAACUUUCACUUCUUUAAGUAAUUUUUUUAAAGGUCUCCAUAAUGCUAAUAUUUACUUUUUGUGCUUUUAGAAUGUUUGGAUGCAAAUAAGCUAACACCUGCCUUCUAAGAAAGAUGGAUCUGGAUAAGCAGGAGGCUAUUGUCCUUCCAUAACCUAACCAUUAUUUAGGUUAGUCUGAAGGCUCUUCAAACAGAGAAAGUUUGCCAUGCAGGGUGAGGAGUGCAGGGGGCGGUAUGGGAGGGAUGGAUGAGGACUAGUGAUGGGAAGGAAACAAUAGAAAAAGACAUUGAGAAGCUACGAAACUGGAGGGCCCUACACACGGUGAAGGUCUCUGAAAGCAUUCUGGGAGGAUUCACAUAGAGAAAAUGAGUUGAGUGUGAGAUGUCUGACUUGCUGCAAUGAUCUGUUCCUCUGUGCCCAACCCCAGGCACUCUCAGUAAAGUCUAUUUCACACAAACACAUGCACAAACGAAAAAAGAAUGUUUAACCAGACAAUGACAAGGGUGACUUGGAUAUCUCUAAGCUCCCUUCUAACUAAAUUUUGAGUGUCUCUGAGCCUAUUUGCCUGUCCUUAGCUGACCCCAUUUCCUUCUCACCCGUAUUUCCUAGCAGGCCUGCCAGACUACUACCAUUCAUUCUCCAAGCGAGUCAAACUGUGCACUUUUACGCCUGUUGGCUUUUACCUGUGCCUCUCUUUGGCUAGAAU